AUGUGGUAUAUGUGUCAAGGCCUACCAUCAACUCAAGUGUUCCGGCUUCCUCCCACCAUCCAAUUGAGCUAAUUCCAGCUGACGUUGGCUCUAGCCCCUCACAACCCUGUAUGCAGGAUAAGCAGUUGAGGAUGGAUGGAUGGAUGUGUUCUCAGGACUUAAAACACUAAUCUGUAUGUUUACAGAGACACGCUGGAGCUCUGUCAGAGAGAUCAUCCGGUUCUUGGUCACCUCCCUGACUAAGGCCCUUCUCCCGUGAUUGUUUAGUCCUGGUGGUUCCAAACUUCUUCUAUUUACGGAUGAUGGAGGCUACUGUGCUCUUUGGGACCUUCAAUGCUGCAGUGAACUCCAAUCAAGUUGUAGAAAUGUCUCAAGGAUGAUCAGUGGAAACAGGAUGCACCUUAGUUCAAUUUUGAAUGUCAUGGUAAAGGCUGUGAAUACUUCUGUACAUGUGGUUUUUUUUGUUUUUUAUUUUUA
Molecule: long non-coding RNA, 477 nt
Organism: Micropterus dolomieu (smallmouth bass)
Lineage: Eukaryota; Metazoa; Chordata; Actinopteri; Centrarchiformes; Centrarchidae
Exons: 4
Source: RefSeq, a predicted model, not a curated record